UGGGGGAUAUUGCACAAUGGGCGAAAGCCUGAUGCAGCGACGCCGCGUGGGGGAUGAAGGCCUUCGUGUUGUAAACUUCUUUUGCUCUGAACAAGGCAUGCUAAUGGGUGUGUUGAGUGUAGGGGUUGAUUAGCGCCGGCUAACUACGUGCCAGCAGCCGCGGUAAUACGUAGGGCGCGAGCGUUGUCCGGAAUUAUUGGGCGUAAAGGGCUUGUAGGUGGCUGGUUGCGUCUGUCGUGAAAGCUCAUGGCUUAACUGUGGGUUUGCGGUGGGUACGGGCGGGCUUGAGUGCAGUAGGGGAGGCUGGAAUUCCUGGUGUAGCGGUGGAAUGCGCAGAUAUCAGGAGGAAUACCGGUGGCGAAGGCGGGUCUCUGGGCUGUUACUGACACUGAGGAGCGAAAGCAUGGGGAGCGAACAGG
RNAcentral lists this ribosomal RNA (419 nucleotides) under bacterium. Its description in RNAcentral is "partial 16S ribosomal RNA". It matches the Rfam family "Bacterial small subunit ribosomal RNA", at positions 355 to 776 of the family's 1533-position model. The record is from RNAcentral.